AACGAACGCUGGCGGUGCGUCUUAGGCAUGCAAGUCGAACGGUAGCAGCACUUCGGUGGCUGACGAGUGGCGAAAGGGUGAGUAACACGUAGGAAUCUACCCUCGGGUCUGGGAUAGCUGCUGGAAACGGCGGGUAAUACUGGAUAACAUCGGAGACGAUCAAAGGCGCUGUAAGGCGUCACCCGGGGAUGAGCCUGCGCCCCAUCAGCUAGUUGGCGGGGUAAAUGCCCACCAAGGCGAAGACGGGUAGCUGGUCUGAGAGGACGAUCAGCCACAAGGGAACUGAGACACGGUCCCUACUCCUACGGGAGGCAGCAGCCAAGAAUAUUCCGCAAUGUACGAAAGUGCGACGGAGCGACACCGCGUGGAGGAUGAAGGCAUUCGUGUUGUAAACUCCUUUUCUCUAGGAAGAAUAAGCGGGGUAGGAAAUGAUCUCGUGAUGACGGUACUAGAGGAAUAAGCCCCGGCUAAUUACGUGCCAGCAGCCGCGGUAAUACGUGAGGGGCGAGCGUUGUUCGGAAUUACUGGGCGUAAAGGGCAUGUAGGCGGCCUUUUAAGUGGAGUGUUAAAAACCGUGGCUCAACUACGGGGGUGCGCUCCAAACUGGGAGGCUUGAAUCUGGUAGAAGGUAGUAGAAUGGCCCGUGUAGCGGUGGAAUGCGUAGAUAUGGGUUAGAAUACCAAAGGCGAAGGCAGCUAUCUAUACCAAGAUUGACGCUGAGGUGCGAAAGCACGGGUAGCAACCAGGCUUAGAUACCCUGGUAGUCCGUGCCGUAAACGAUGUACACUAGGGAUCGUGGGGUUACCCGCGGUUCCGCAGCUAACGCAUGAAGUGUACCGCCUGGGGAGUACGGUCGCAAGAUUGAAACUCAAAGAAAUUGACGGGGGCCCGCACAAGCGGUGGAGCACGUGGAUUAAUUCGAUGGUAAGCGAAGAACCUUACCAGGGCUUGAAAUUGCACUGCUGUCUGCUGAAAGGUAGAUUUCUCUUCGGAGACGGUGUAACAGGUGUUGCAUGGCUGUCGUCAGCUCGUGCCGUGAGGUGUUGGGUUAAGUCCCGCAACGAGCGCAACCCCUAUUUUUAGUUGCUACAUUUAGUUGAGCACUCUAGAGAGACUGCCGGCGACAAGUCGGAGGAAGGAGGGGAUGACGUCAAGUCAUCAUGACCCUUAUGCCCUGGGCUUCACACAUGCUACAAUGGUGGGGACAAAGAGAUGCUAGGCCGCGAGGUUUCGCCAACCUCAAAAACCUCACCUCAAUAUGGAUUGGAGUCUGCAACUCGACUCCAUGAAACUGGAAUCGCUAGUAAUCGUGGGUCAGCAACACCACGGUGAAUACGUUCUCGGGCCUUGUACACACCGCCCGUCACACCACCCGAGUGGGUUUUUCUUGAAGCGGGUUACCCCAACCGUAAGGAGGGGGCUCGUAAGGGAGGGGCUCGUAAGGGGGGUG
This 1450-nucleotide ribosomal RNA is filed under the name uncultured bacterium. RNAcentral's name for it is "bacterial SSU rRNA". It matches the Rfam family "Bacterial small subunit ribosomal RNA". The record is from RNAcentral.